CUAGUAGCUGGACAGUACCAA
This 21-nucleotide unclassified non-coding RNA is filed under the name Mus musculus (house mouse). RNAcentral's name for it is "oocyte_clustered_small_RNA2187". The record is from RNAcentral. Lineage: Eukaryota; Metazoa; Chordata; Mammalia; Rodentia; Muridae.